UUCUCAGCGUGAGGCAGACCUAUAGGACUCUGUACUCCCCACCAGAAGAGCCUGAACGGAGAAGUUUGUACCAUUUAAGCCUUAAAGCCAUGGCCCAGAUGAGUUGGACUUGUUCCUCAGUCUUACAGUUACUGACAAGUGGCGCCCAAACAGGGACCUGAGUACGUGGGCUGUUGAGAGGGACCCCGGAAAUAUUUCACGCGCAGA
Molecule: long non-coding RNA, 207 nt
Organism: Lagenorhynchus albirostris (white-beaked dolphin)
Lineage: Eukaryota; Metazoa; Chordata; Mammalia; Artiodactyla; Delphinidae
Exons: 3
Source: RefSeq, a predicted model, not a curated record